RNAcentral lists this ribosomal RNA (503 nucleotides) under uncultured bacterium. RNAcentral's name for it is "partial 16S ribosomal RNA". It matches the Rfam family "Bacterial small subunit ribosomal RNA", at positions 30 to 523 of the family's 1533-position model. The record is from RNAcentral.
AUUGAACGCUGGCGGCAGGCUUAACACAUGCAAGUCGAGCGGGGUGAUGGUGCUUGCACUAUCACUUAGCGGCGGACGGGUGAGUAAUGCUUAGGAAUCUGCCUAUUAGUGGGGGACAACAUCUCGAAAGGGAUGCUAAUACCGCAUACGUCCUACGGGAGAAAGCAGGGGAUCACUUGUGACCUUGCGCUAAUAGAUGAGCCUAAGUCGGAUUAGCUAGUUGGUGGGGUAAAGGCCUACCAAGGCGACGAUCUGUAGCGGGUCUGAGAGGAUGAACCGCCACACUGGGGCUGGGACACGGCCCAGACUCCUACGGGAGGCAGCAGUGGGGAAUAUUGGACAAUGGGGGGAACCCUGAUCCAGCCAUGCCGCGUGUGUGAAGAAGGCCUUAUGGUUGUAAAGCACUUUAAGCGAGGAGGAGGCUCUUUUGGUUAAUACCCAAGAUGAGUGGACGUUACUCGCAGAAUAAGCACCGGCUAACUCUGUGCCAGCCGCCGCUGUAA